This 429-nucleotide ribosomal RNA is filed under the name Acidobacteriota bacterium. Its description in RNAcentral is "Acidobacteria bacterium partial 16S ribosomal RNA". It matches the Rfam family "Bacterial small subunit ribosomal RNA", at positions 355 to 776 of the family's 1533-position model. RNAcentral also lists the same sequence under 1 other name. Lineage: Bacteria; Pseudomonadati; Acidobacteriota. The record is from RNAcentral.
UGGGGAAUUUUGGACAAUGGGCGCAAGCCUGAUCCAGCAAUGCCGCGUGCAGGAAGAAGGCCUUCGGGUUGUAAACUGCUUUUGUCAGGGAAGAAAUCUUCUGGGCUAAUACCCCGGGAGGAUGACGGUACCUGAAGAAUAAGCACCGGCUAACUACGUGCCAGCAGCCGCGGUAAUACGUAGGGUGCGAGCGUUAAUCGGAAUUACUGGGCGUAAAGCGUGCGCAGGCGGCUUUGCAAGACAGAGGUGAAAUCCCCGGGCUCAACCUGGGAACUGCCUUUGUGACUGCAAGGCUAGAGUACGGCAGAGGGGGAUGGAAUUCCGCGUGUAGCAGUGAAAUGCGUAGAUAUGCGGAGGAACACCGAUGGCGAAGGCAAUCCCCUGGGCCUGUACUGACGCUCAUGCACGAAAGCGUGGGGAGCAAACAGG